CGUAGGGUGCAAGCGUUGUCCGGAAUUAUUGGGCGUAAAGAGCUCGUAGGCGGUUUGUUGCGUCGGCUGUGAAAUCCCGAGGCUCAACCUCGGGUCUGCAGUCGAUACGAGCAAACUAGAGUGUUGCAGGGGAGACUGGAAUUCCUGGUGUAGCGGUGAAAUGCGCAGAUAUCAGGAGGAACACCGGUGGCGAAGGCGGUUCUCUGGGCAUGUCCUGACGCUGAGGAGCGAAAGCGUGGGGAGCGAACAGG
RNAcentral lists this ribosomal RNA (251 nucleotides) under uncultured bacterium. RNAcentral describes it as "partial 16S ribosomal RNA". It matches the Rfam family "Bacterial small subunit ribosomal RNA", at positions 526 to 776 of the family's 1533-position model. The record is from RNAcentral.